This 665-nucleotide ribosomal RNA is filed under the name uncultured bacterium. Its description in RNAcentral is "bacterial SSU rRNA". It matches the Rfam family "Bacterial small subunit ribosomal RNA", at positions 112 to 762 of the family's 1533-position model. The record is from RNAcentral.
AACACGUGGGUAACCUGCCCAUAAGACUGGGAUAACUCCGGGAAACCGGGGCUAAUACCGGAUAACAUUUUGAACUGCAUGGUUCGAAAUUGAAAGGCGGCUUCGGCUGUCACUUAUGGAUGGACCCGCGUCGCAUUAGCUAGUUGGUGAGGUAACGGCUCACCAAGGCAACGAUGCGUAGCCGACCUGAGAGGGUGAUCGGCCACACUGGGACUGAGACACGGCCCAGACUCCUACGGGAGGCAGCAGUAGGGAAUCUUCCGCAAUGGACGAAAGUCUGACGGAGCAACGCCGCGUGAGUGAUGAAGGCUUUCGGGUCGUAAAACUCUGUUGUUAGGGAAGAACAAGUGCUAGUUGAAUAAGCUGGCACCUUGACGGUACCUAACCAGAAAGCCACGGCUAACUACGUGCCAGCAGCCGCGGUAAUACGUAGGUGGCAAGCGUUAUCCGGAAUUAUUGGGCGUAAAGCGCGCGCAGGUGGUUUCUUAAGUCUGAUGUGAAAGCCCACGGCUCAACCGUGGAGGGUCAUUGGAAACUGGGAGACUUGAGUGCAGAAGAGGAAAGUGGAAUUCCAUGUGUAGCGGUGAAAUGCGUAGAGAUAUGGAGGAACACCAGUGGCGAAGGCGACUUUCUGGUCUGUAACUGACACUGAGGCGCGAAAGCGU